UCAAGUGACUAAGAGCAUGUGGUGGAUGCCUUGGCGAUGAUAGGCGACGAAAGACGUGAUAGCCUGCGAUAAGCUUCGGGGAGCUGGCAAAUAAGCAUUGAUCCGGAGAUUUCUGAAUGGGGAAACCCACCUGCAAAGGUAUCGCACACUGAAUACAUAGGUGUGCGAGGCGAACCGGGUGAACUGAAACAUCUCAGUAGCUCGAGGAAAAGACAUCAACCGAGAUUGCGAAAGUAGUGGCGAGCGAAAUCGCAACAGCCUUCUAGUGAUAGUCGAACGGUUAGCAAAGCGGCAUGGAAAGGCCGGCCAUAGUGGGUGAUAGCCCCGUAUGCGAAAACCGAUCGGUGGUACUAGGCUAGAGACAAGUAGGGCGGGGCACGAGAAACCCUGUCUGAACAUGGGGGGACCAUCCUCCAAGGCUAAAUACUCAUCAUCGACCGAUAGUGAACCAGUACCGAG
This 459-nucleotide ribosomal RNA is filed under the name uncultured Burkholderiales bacterium. Its description in RNAcentral is "bacterial LSU rRNA". It matches the Rfam family "Bacterial large subunit ribosomal RNA", at positions 3 to 505 of the family's 2925-position model. Lineage: Bacteria; Pseudomonadati; Pseudomonadota; Betaproteobacteria; Burkholderiales. The record is from RNAcentral.